This 404-nucleotide RNase P RNA is filed under the name Streptomyces cadmiisoli. RNAcentral's name for it is "RNase P RNA component class A". It matches the Rfam family "Bacterial RNase P class A". From Rfam's summary of the family: Ribonuclease P (RNase P) is a ubiquitous endoribonuclease, found in archaea, bacteria and eukarya as well as chloroplasts and mitochondria. Its best characterised activity is the generation of mature 5'-ends of tRNAs by cleaving the 5'-leader elements of precursor-tRNAs. Lineage: Bacteria; Bacillati; Actinomycetota; Actinomycetes; Kitasatosporales; Streptomycetaceae. The record is from RNAcentral.
CGAGCCGGGCGGACGGCCGCGUGGAGUCCCCUUGAGGGGGCUUCCCGAGGAACGUCCGGGCUCCACAGGGCAGGGUGAUGGCUAACGGCCACCCGGGGUGACCCGCGGGACAGUGCCACAGAAAGCAGACCGCCCGGCGCUCAGGCGCUGGGUAAGGGUGAAACGGUGGUGUAAGAGACCACCAGUGCCCAGGGCGACCUGGGCAGCUAGGUAAACCCCACCCGGAGCAAGGUCAAGAGGGGACACCCCGGUGUCCCUGCGCGGACGUUCGAGGGCUGCCCGCCCGAGUCCGCGGGUAGACCGCACGAGGCCGGUGGCAACACCGGCCCUAGAUGGAUGGCCGUCGCCGGAGGGUUCGCAAGAACCCUCCGGAACAGAACCCGGCGUACAGCCCGACUCGUCUG